CCAAGACAGUUGUUCAGCAGUUCUUCAAGUACCGUGAAGGUAAAGAGGCAGAAAGGAGGAUGUUCUCAAAAUCCAAAAAGAAAUCAAUGAAAACAGUGAAGGUAUAAAUAAAAAGUUUUUUAAAUGUUAAUCUGUUGUCUGACAACACUUUUCUAAUAUGUGACCACUUUUUUUUCCUAAAAUGUAAUCUAGAUUUCUGUUGGGAUCAUGAACAAACAAAAGACUGGCAUGAGACCCAUAAGAGGGAAAUCACUACCAUUACAUGUUGACCCAAGCUGGUCAUCUGAGAGGCUGUUGGGUGCUGCCAUUAAAAAACUGAAAGAUUUCAACCAAGAUAUGAAAGAUGUAGAAUACAUCCUGCUCUACCCUGAUGGCUCUCAAAUAAAAAAUAUUCCAGGAACUGACACACCCUUUACGAUUGAACUCUACAAAGAGGCCGUUGGCAAGUCUUACCAAAGAAUUACACUAUUUGUCUGCACACUUGAGGACUUUUUGUCAGAAUGUGAGUUAAAUAGAAUUGCCAUUAAUUCUUUUUUAUAGUCAUAUUGUUAAAGAAUCUUGUGAUUACUGUGUUGAAGAUUUUAACCAAAGUAUUUCAUACGUUCCCACAGAUGUUAGUGCUUCAGAAGAUGAGGAGGAUGAUGAAGUUAUCGUUAGGGUACCACCCGUUACGUCACCCCUCUCUGACACAGUGGUAUGUAAAUCUCAAGGAUUCAUUAGUUCGAGAUGUUAGUGCUCUCAGUUCCGGCAUAAUGCAUUCAAUGUCUGAAUAUAAGACUAAUAUCAUUCUAUCGUUGUGUAUAUAUAGUGGUAAGAAUCUGAGCAGCCAUAAUCAACGAGUUUGGUGUUUGAUGAUUUUAUCUGACAGCUUUGGUCAAGUCCAGAAAGCAGUACACCAGAGCCUAUACGUCGGUCACCUUCAAUAUCCCAAACAUCUGAUGUGCAAGUACAUAAUACUCUUUUGUAUAACAAUGUUGCAUAUUUAA
RNAcentral lists this long non-coding RNA (986 nucleotides) under Oreochromis niloticus (Nile tilapia). Its description in RNAcentral is "lncRNA (ENSONIG00000025305.2)". The record is from RNAcentral. Lineage: Eukaryota; Metazoa; Chordata; Actinopteri; Cichliformes; Cichlidae.